CCCAUCCUCCGUUGAAUUGGGUCUAUCUUUUGAUUCUGGUCUACCCUGAGAGAUAAAGUAGCCCGUACCUCUCCUAUUCAUUAUGGUAAUCUAUCCCGUAUCUAUUGAUGACUAAAACCCCCCUUCACUCGUGGGACAAGGUUCUUCUUUCUGUUCUGAUUUGGAAUGGAAUAACUUCCCCACCUCACUACUCAACCGUAGCUUUCUACCUUUUGAUUAUGGUAAUUUAGUCUUCAUCAUACAACACCCAUGCCACUUUCACCUGUAGUUGCAGCAGCCGUUUUUCUUUCUUUUACGAAAGAAGGAGCAAGCAACCAAGCAACGACUUUCGUGCUAGCACACUUUCCUGUUGCUUGGUUGUUGGUGUAGUUUUCUUCCCUCCCUCCCAAAUUUUGCCAAAUGAUUCAAGACCUGAACUGAAAGAGACUAUCCAAACAAAGCUUUCCGACUUGGCCUUAAGAAGCUUGUAUCCUUUAGAAUAUUGGGACCUAACGAGACAGGACAGCCUAUACCGAAGGAGACAAAUUCAUACCCCGCCAAUUUCUAGGGCUUGCCUUGCUCGAAUGUUCUUGCCUUUGCCCCCACGCCAGCUUGCUCUCCCAUCCCUCCCACCUUUGCCUAUACCUAUGCUUAUAUUCCCUCCACUGGUUGAUCGACGAGUCCACUGGCAUCUAGAGCAGUAUAUGUAACUUCAAGGUAUUCCACUAGACCAGGUACUCGCUAUAGAGGCUACGAACCUUAC
This 742-nucleotide long non-coding RNA is filed under the name Amborella trichopoda. Its description in RNAcentral is "long non-coding RNA (ATRI_LNC005323)". The record is from RNAcentral. Lineage: Eukaryota; Viridiplantae; Streptophyta; Magnoliopsida; Amborellales; Amborellaceae.